This 783-nucleotide ribosomal RNA is filed under the name Shigella sonnei. RNAcentral describes it as "partial 23S ribosomal RNA". It matches the Rfam family "Bacterial large subunit ribosomal RNA", at positions 2148 to 2925 of the family's 2925-position model. Lineage: Bacteria; Pseudomonadati; Pseudomonadota; Gammaproteobacteria; Enterobacterales; Enterobacteriaceae. The record is from RNAcentral.
UGGGAGGCUUUGAAGUGUGGACGCCAGUCUGCAUGGAGCCGGCCUUGAAAUACCACCCUUUAAUGUUUGAUGUUCUAACGUGGACCCGUGAUCCGGGUUGCGGACAGUGUCUGGUGGGUAGUUUGACUGGGGCGGUCUCCUCCUAAAGAGUAACGGAGGAGCACGAAGGUUGGCUAAUCCUGGUCGGACAUCAGGAGGUUAGUGCAAUGGCAUAAGCCAGCUUGACUGCGAGCGUGACGGCGCGAGCAGGUGCGAAAGCAGGUCAUAGUGAUCCGGUGGUUCUGAAUGGAAGGGCCAUCGCUCAACGGAUAAAAGGUACUCCGGGGAUAACAGGCUGAUACCGCCCAAGAGUUCAUAUCGACGGCGGUGUUUGGCACCUCGAUGUCGGCUCAUCACAUCCUGGGGCUGAAGUAGGUCCCAAGGGUAUGGCUGUUCGCCAUUUAAAGUGGUACGCGAGCUGGGUUUAGAACGUCGUGAGACAGUUCGGUCCCUAUCUGCCGUGGGCGCUGGAGAACUGAGGGGGGCUGCUCCUAGUACGAGAGGACCGGAGUGGACGCAUCACUGGUGUUCGGGUUGUCAUGCCAAUGGCACUGCCCGGUAGCUAAAUGCGGAAGAGAUAAGUGCUGAAAGCAUCUAAGCACGAAACUUGCCCCGAGAUGAGUUCUCCCUGACCCUUUAAGGGUCCUGAAGGAACGUUGAAGACGACGACGUUGAUAGGCCGGGUGUGUAAGCGCAGCGAUGCGUUGAGCUAACCGGUACUAAUGAACCGUGAGGCUUAACCUU